GAUGAACGCUGGCGGCGUGCCUAAUACAUGCAAGUCGAGCGAACAGACGAGGAGCUUGCUCCUCUGACGUUAGCGGCGGACGGGUGAGUAACACGUGGAUAACCUACCUAUAAGACUGGGAUAACUUCGGGAAACCGGAGCUAAUACCGGAUAAUAUAUUGAACCGCAUGGUUCAAUAGUGAAAGACGGUUUUGCUGUCACUUAUAGAUGGAUCCGCGCCGCAUUAGCUAGUUGGUAAGGUAACGGCUUACCAAGGCGACGAUGCGUAGCCGACCUGAGAGGGUGAUCAGCCACACUGGAACUGAGACACGGUCCAGACUCCUACGGGAGGCAGCAGUAGGGAAUCUUCCGCAAUGGGCGAAAGCCUGACGGAGCAACGCCGCGUGAGUGAUGAAGGUCUUCGGAUCGUAAAACUCUGUUAUUAGGGAAGAACAAAUGCGUAAGUAACUAUGCACGUCUUGACGGUACCUAAUCAGAAAGCCACGGCUAACUACGUG
Molecule: ribosomal RNA, 497 nt
Filed under: uncultured bacterium
Lineage: Bacteria
Description: partial 16S ribosomal RNA
Rfam family: Bacterial small subunit ribosomal RNA
Source: RNAcentral